AUGAACGCUGGCGGCGUGCCUAAUACAUGCCAGUCGAGCGAACAGACGAGGAGCUUGCUCCUCUGAUGUUAGCGGCGGACGGGUGAGUAACACGUGGAUAACCUACCUAUAAGACUGGGAUAACUUCGGGAAACCGGAGCUAAUACCGGAUAACAUGUUGAACCGCAUGGUUCAACAGUGAAAGACGGUCUUGCUGUCACUUAUAGAUGGAUCCGCGCCGCAUUAGCUAGUUGGUAAGGUAACGGCUUACCAAGGCAACGAUGCGUAGCCGACCUGAGAGGGUGAUCGGCCACACUGGAGCUGAGACACGGUCCAGACUCCUACGGGAGGCAGCAGUAGGGAAUCUUCCGCAAUGGGCGAAAGCCUGACGGAGCAACGCCGCGUGAGUGAAGAAGGUCUUCGGAUCGUAAAACUCUGUUAUUAGGGAAGAACAAAUGUGUAAGUAACUAUGCACGUCUUGACGGUACCUAAUCAGAAAGCCACGGCUAACUACGUG
Molecule: ribosomal RNA, 496 nt
Filed under: uncultured bacterium
Lineage: Bacteria
Description: partial 16S ribosomal RNA
Rfam family: Bacterial small subunit ribosomal RNA
Source: RNAcentral